Molecule: small nuclear RNA, 190 nt
Organism: Dermacentor andersoni
Lineage: Eukaryota; Metazoa; Arthropoda; Arachnida; Ixodida; Ixodidae
Product: U2 spliceosomal RNA
Source: RefSeq, a predicted model, not a curated record
ACAUAUUCAUGGCCGACGCGGGUCUGAAAGUGUAGUAUCUGUUCUUUUCAUCCUAAUAUCUGAUAUCGGUUCUAUUUGGACCCAAAAUUUUAAAUACAUUUUCGCAAGAUGGCGAAGUGCCUGAAGCCAGGUUCCCCUCCACCGCCGUUCAGCCGAGCAUUACAAUAUCUUCGGGAUUGAUCCACGGUUU